This 88-nucleotide small nucleolar RNA is filed under the name Helianthus annuus (common sunflower). RNAcentral's name for it is "Small nucleolar RNA snoR109". It matches the Rfam family "Small nucleolar RNA snoR109". The record is from RNAcentral. Lineage: Eukaryota; Viridiplantae; Streptophyta; Magnoliopsida; Asterales; Asteraceae.
CGGCUGUAGCUAAAUGAGUUUAGAAGUUUUGUUGGCCGGAUGUCGUUAAUUUCAGCCGAUAAAUGUGUAUACUGAACUUCAUACAUCU